GAGCCUUCUGGGAGGUCCCCGAGGAGGAUGCGAGCCUGGGAGGUUGUUCCAUUUCCACGCGCCCCUCACGCCCUUGGACGAGGCCCUCACCCCUGGUUCCACUGCAGGAGACCUGUUAAAGGUCAUCCGUGGACCGAAAUGCGCGCCCGAAGCAACCAAGAGCAGAGGCGGGCGAACGCGGGAGGCUGGCCGCCCCAGUGUGUGGUCGGAUGUUGUGUGCUGGAUCUCGUGCGAAGGUUCCGAGG
RNAcentral lists this long non-coding RNA (245 nucleotides) under Homo sapiens (human). RNAcentral describes it as "non-protein coding lnc-OR4F6-6:1". Lineage: Eukaryota; Metazoa; Chordata; Mammalia; Primates; Hominidae. The record is from RNAcentral.